Molecule: ribosomal RNA, 242 nt
Filed under: uncultured bacterium
Lineage: Bacteria
Description: partial 16S ribosomal RNA
Rfam family: Bacterial small subunit ribosomal RNA
Source: RNAcentral
GGACCUACGGGAGGCAGCAGUGGGGAAUAUUGCACAAUGGGGGAAACCCUGAUGCAGCGACGCCGCGUGAGUGAAGAAGUAUUUCGGUAUGUAAAGCUCUAUCAGCAGGGAAGAAGUUGACGGUACCUGAGCAAGAAGCCCCGGGUAACUACGGGCCAGCAGCCGCGGUAAUACGUAGGGGGCAAGCGUUAUCCGGAUUUACUGGGGGGAAAGGGAGCGUAGACGGCAGUGCAAGGCUGAAG